GAUGGACGCUGGCGGCGUGCCUAAUACAUGCAAGUCGAGCGAACAGACGAGGAGCUUGCUCCUCUGACGUUAGCGGCGGACGGGUGAGUAACACGUGGAUAACCUACCUAUAAAACUGGGAUAACUUCGGGAAACCGGAGCUAAUACCGGAUAAUAUAUUGAACCGCAUGGUUCAAUAGUGAAAGACGGUUUUGCUGUCACUUAUAGAUGGAUCCGCGCCGCAUUAGCUAGUUGGUAAGGUAACGGCUUACCAAGGCAACGAUGCGUAGCCGACCUGAGAGGGGGAUCGGCCACACUGGAACUGAGACACGGUCCAGACUCCUACGGGAGGCAGCAGUAGGGAAUCUUCAGCAAUGGGCGAAAGCCUGACGGAGCAACGCCGCGUGAGUGAUGAAGGUCUUCGGAUCGUAAAACUCUGUUAUUAGGGAAGACCAAAUGUGUAAGUAACUAUGCCCGUCUUGACGGUACCUAAUCAGAAAGCCACGGCUAACCACGUG
RNAcentral lists this ribosomal RNA (497 nucleotides) under uncultured bacterium. RNAcentral describes it as "partial 16S ribosomal RNA". It matches the Rfam family "Bacterial small subunit ribosomal RNA", at positions 28 to 507 of the family's 1533-position model. The record is from RNAcentral.